This 465-nucleotide ribosomal RNA is filed under the name Triticum aestivum (bread wheat). RNAcentral describes it as "partial small subunit ribosomal RNA". Lineage: Eukaryota; Viridiplantae; Streptophyta; Magnoliopsida; Poales; Poaceae. The record is from RNAcentral.
AUGGCCUGUUUCAAGCUACCGAGAGAUCUUUGUGAACAUAUUAAUGGACUAAUUCGCAAAUUUUGGUGGGGAAGCAAGAAGGGUGAAAGGAAGACGGCUUGGGUAUCCUGGAACACUAUGACGAAGCCAAAAUUCAUGGGAGGGCUCGGAUUUCGUGACAUUGAGCUAUUUAAUUUGGUGUUGCUUGCGCGCCAAGCUUGGAGACUUUUGCAGGAACCAACUACACUCAGUGCUAGAGUUCUCAGGGCCAGAUAUUAUCCUAACUGCAACCUCCUGGAUGCUAGCUUGGGAUCGUCACCAUCUCAGGUAUGGCGGUCCAUUCUGGAGGGAAGAGACAUAUUAGCGUUGGGUUUAAUCAAGCGUAUCGGUUCUGGAGCUUCGACCAAUGUAUGGGAUGACAAGUGGUUGCCAGGGACUACAAAUUGCGACCAAUCUGCUGCCGGUCUACUGACCCACCGACAGUAG